AGGGCGGCUCUCUGGUCUGUAACUGACGCUGAGGCUCGAAAGCGUGGGGAGCAAACAGGAUUAGAAACCCUGGUAGUCCACGCCGUAAACGAUGAGUGCUAAGUGUUGGAGGGUUUCCGCCCUUCAGUGCUGCAGCUAACGCAUUAAGCACUCCGCCUGGGGAGUACGACCGCAAGGUUGAAACUCAAAGGAAUUGACGGGGGCCCGCACAAGCGGUGGAGCAUGUGGUUUAAUUCGAAGCAACGCGAAGAACCUUACCAGGUCUUGACAUCCUUUGACCACUCUAGAGAUAGAGCUUCCCCUUCGGGGGCAAAGUGACAGGUGGUGCAUGGUUGUCGUCAGCUCGUGUCGUGAGAUGUUGGGUUAAGUCCCGCAACGAGCGCAACCCUUAUUGUUAGUUGCCAUCAUUUAGUUGGGCACUCUAGCAAGACUGCCGGUGACAAACCGGAGGAAGGUGGGGAUGACGUCAAAUCAUCAUGCCCCUUAUGACCUGGGCUACACACGUGCUACAAUGGGAAGUACAACGAGUCGCAAAGUCGCGAGGCUAAGCUAAUCUCUUAAAGCUUCUCUCAGUUCGGAUUGUAGGCUGCAACUCGCCUACAUGAAGCCGGAAUCGCUAGUAAUCGCGGAUCAGCACGCCGCGGUGAAUACGUUCCCGGGCCUUGUACACACCGCCCGUCACACCACGAGAGUUUGUAACACCCGAAGUCGGUGAGGUAACCUUUUGGAGCCAGCCGCCUAAGGUGGGAUAGAUGAUUGGGGUGAAGUCGU
This 771-nucleotide ribosomal RNA is filed under the name uncultured bacterium. RNAcentral describes it as "bacterial SSU rRNA". It matches the Rfam family "Bacterial small subunit ribosomal RNA", at positions 718 to 1489 of the family's 1533-position model. The record is from RNAcentral.